AGGUGCGAUCAUACCAGCACUAAUGCACCGGAUCCCAUCACAACUCUGAAGUGAAGCGUACUUCGGCGAGAGUAGUACUAGAAUGGGUGACCUCCUGGGAAGUCCUCGUGUUGCACCUC
This 119-nucleotide ribosomal RNA is filed under the name Lupinus angustifolius (narrow-leaved blue lupine). Lineage: Eukaryota; Viridiplantae; Streptophyta; Magnoliopsida; Fabales; Fabaceae. The record is from RNAcentral.